This 9849-nucleotide long non-coding RNA is filed under the name Homo sapiens (human). Its description in RNAcentral is "HSALNT0375144". Lineage: Eukaryota; Metazoa; Chordata; Mammalia; Primates; Hominidae. The record is from RNAcentral.
GAGACCCUGUCUCAAACUAACGAACCAACCAACAAACAAAAAAAAUGAAAAACAACAACAAAAACCCUCUCAUUAUAACAUGGAUAGAAAUUGUAGCAUUAUUUAGAAAUUUUCAGAAAAUAAUACUGUUUGAAAACAGACUCCAUGGCUUGAUAAAAAUACAAAUAAAUAUUAACUACUUACAAUCAUAAGAAGUUUUACAUGCUAAAUAUGAAAUUAAUUGUAUAAAGUUCUGUAUAAAUCUAUGGGUUAAAAUGUACAUCAAUACAGAGAAGUUUGAAUAUUAAUAUUAUGAUACAAACUUUGUAGCUAUUUUUAGAAAUAUUUUUUCAUUGACAUGACUAAAAAUCACAUUGCUAAGUAGACCUAAGAUAAAAUAUGUCAAUGUUGUAUAUUCUUUGCACAUAAAUCAAAAGAACCCAUUUCAAGUGGUCUUUUUCACUAGUCUAAGAUCAAACUGUUUUAGAAUAUUAUAGUGGUAUUAUUUUGAUUAGUUAACAAAUACUAUUAUAAUAAAAACAUUUAAUUCAUUUGAGGCCAGUAGUAUUUAUAAUGACAAAAUUUACUUGGUAGUUAUACUUUCUUCAUGAAAAUGAAACUGUAAUAUUUGGAUAUGUCAGCAUUUAUGCUACCUGUAGACUUUUCAUUCAUUUAACAUACAUCUAGGUGAAAUGAAUGAAGCUUUAGUUUUUCAUGGAACUUCACUAAGAUUUGAUCAAUUUUAAAAUGCUGCUAUUAAUAAUUCUGUUUAAGUAUUAAACCCUUAAUACUAACCACCAUUAAAAUAUUUUCUAUUUCUUAGAUUCCAUUAGUUCUUAGGUCUUAUGAAAAUACCAAAUGAGGAAAAAUUUUAACUGUUAUGAUAAACUUCCCUGCAUAUCAAUAAAGACAAUGAAAGGUGUUGCUAUGGCUUGAAUGUGUCCCCUAAAGUUAAUGUGCUGGAAACUUAAUUCCCAUCGUAUUAGGAGAUGAGGCCUUCAGGAACUUAUUAGGCCAUGAGGGCUCUGCCCUUAUAAAGGGAUUAAUGUCAUUAUCAUGGGAGUAGGUUAGUUAUCGCCUUUCCACCAUGAGAUGAGGCCCUCCCCAGAUGUCUGGGCCAUAUUCUUGGACUUACCAGCUUUCAGAACCAUGAGCCAAAUACAUUUCUUUUAUAAAUUACCCAGGCUGUAGCAUUCUGCUAUAGCAGCAGAAAAUGAACUAAAACAGGUAUAAAUAUACAAAAACACAAAAGCAUUUAAAGUAUCUGUUUUCCAAAGUCAAACACAUACUUUAGGGGGCCAUAAAGAUUAAUAAUAUGCAUUUCCUGUCUUCUGUGAGCUCAUAAUUUAAUAAAGAGGAUACAUAUGCCACAUACACAUAGAAUGUCAAUCAAUGUAAGAUAUAGAACUGUAACAGAGAUUAAAAGGCACAUUGGAGAUUAAAAGGCACAUAAUCAGAGUCAAAGAAACAUUUAUUUCAGGAAUCAGGGACAUUUAUAGACUGUGGCAUUUAAUUUGAGGUUUGAUGGUUUGGUAGAAUUUCUUAAGUGGACAAAAGAGAAAUAACAUCUCCCCUGAGGAAACAGCACAAGUAAAAACAAGUAUGAAAUUGUACACUAUGUUUCAGUAGCAAUUAAUUAUCCAGUGUGCCUGCAGCUUAGAUAGUGUUCUGUAGGGAGAUGGAUGCUGCUUAAAGAAUAAUGCAAAGCUUAAAAGUGCCUCUUAACAGAAGCUCUUGAGUUUCAUAAGGAGGAUUUUGGACUCUAUAGAUAAAUAUUUCUGAGUAAAGGUGUAGUGUGUCACAGUACAUCACAGGAUAUAAUUGUGCGUUAUUGAUAUAUUAGAUACAUAAUAUACAUAAUUUAUGAAUAAUAUAUACAUAAUUUAUGAAUAAUGUAUGUUUGCACAUAUAAGUGGAGAAUUGUACAGAAGUUAAUCUGGUUCUAGAGAAGAGGACAGAAUAGAGAGGCAAGAGAUUAAUGAGAAGAUUGACCAAUAUGCGAAAGCAACAUCUCUAUGGAGAGACUUUGAAGAUCUAGUUCACAGAAUGACUUUUUUUGCAUGCAAAAAAGAAGAACAGGAUGGGACAGACUUUGAACUGCAUAUUGACAGGAGUUUGUGACUGAUGGAAUGAAGUAAAUGUGAGAGACAAAGCAAUCUUAGAGAAGCAUGAUGGCUUAGCUUGGGUUAUAAAAAUAAUGAUCUGCCAAUAACCAAGACAAGAACGGAAGAAGAUUUUUUGAAAAAUAAUGUUAGCUUUAUAUCUACCCAGUUUAAGAUGUUUUCAGGACAUUUGUGUAUAAAUAUAAAAGAAGCUAUUGGAAACAUGGAUAUCAAAUUAAUUAAGGAGAUCAACAGAAAUGUAUAGACUUAGGGCUUAUCUGUAUAGAGGUGAUGACAGGUAGUUAUGGGAAAGAACCUAGAGAGCAAGAAGAAAAGAGGAAUGGUGCCCGAAUCUGGGAGAGAUAGACUUCAGGAUGGCCAGUCAUUGAAUGAGGGAUGAAGAGACUCUGAGAUAAAUUGUUAGUGACAGAGAAGGAAAAGUGCUAAGGAAUCAUUAUAAAAGGGCAGGAAAAUGGCAAUUACAUGACUGUUUAAAAGUGUCAAAUUUGAGGAGAUAUUGAGUCAUAUGUAGAGUAUGGGUUUUCCAUUGGGAAGAGGUUGUUGGUCUUGGAGAAAAUAAUUUCUACAGAGAUGGAGAAAUGAAAAAGAAACCAAUUUGAUCAUAUUUAGGAAAGAGGAUUGGUAAGGAAGUAGAAAAUGUAAAUUUCUUUCUAGGAAAAAUUUGAGAGAAGAAAGCUAGAUGAAAUAGUAGUAUGAUGCGGUCCUAGGAUAUGCAUAAAUCAAGGGGAAAAAGUGGUAAAAUAGGAGAGAAGAAGAAAGGAGAGAGAGAGAAUGGAAAUGAGAGACAUGAUAAGAUUAAAACUCUGAUGGAGUGAUUUGCCUUAAAAGGGGUAGAACUAUUUCUUCCUUGAGACAGAAUGCAGUUGAUAAAUGAGGAUAAAAGAAAAAGGUGAGGUGUGAUUGAGAAAUCUGGUGGACGUUUCCAUGAGUAUGGAUUCUGUUUUCUUAGACACGUGUAUGGGUGGACUAUAGUGAACGUUCUAUCUGGGAAAGACAUGAUGAGGAUAUAAAGUGGGCGUGAUAUUAAGAUCUCAUACAAGACAGUUAAUUAUAGCAAAAAUAAGUCUUCCAAAAAUUGAGGGCACAUUUCAUGCUUCCCCAAGGUGAUAAAGACCACCAGCCAACAACUGCCAAGGGCAACCUUUGCAUUUUAAAUUUGCUGUGCAGAAAAGGAAGCACACCCUAUGUGAACAGUGGGUGCGUCAGUUAGAGGGAGGAGAAAAGGGCUUUUCUAGAGUUUGAAAUUUUGCUGAAUUAUGGUACAUAUAGUGUAAGUGAAGUGGCAAAUGCCUUCACAUUGGAUAUUGUCAUGAGACAGAGUCUUUACAGUAACUGCUUAUCUCAGUAAUUGUUCAAGAGUUGGGAGGCACUAAGAGGGGUAGGAACAUCAUUGGAAAGAAAGCAACGAUUGCACAAGAGGAGGGAUGAUGUGGCUUGAGAAGACAGAUGGUUAAAACAGCCUUGUCCACGUCUAGGUAAAAACAUAUUUAGGUCAUGGCCUGAUUAACCGCAGUAUGAGAAGUGAACAUAGGAUUGGGGUUCUGUUUCUUUGCAAACUAGAUAAUGAAGAGAAAUGUGAAAUGCUGAAUCCCCAAACUCCAUAUCUGAAACUCUGCACCUUAUUUAAAAUUGAAUCUGCUUCCCUGAGUCAAAGUGACUCCGGUGGCUCGGAUUUCUAGAGUGAGUUGUUUCUUCUUUAGUCAUAGGUUUUCACUGAAAAUUUUGUAUAGUUUAUGAUUUCAGAAAACAAGGUUUGUUAGCCCUAUUCUUGAAGUUCAUAUAAGCAGGUCUGCAUAGUCACAGGCCUAUUAGUAACUUAUUUCCAGGAGUGACAGUGGUUUCUGUAUAGGACCAUCUAGUGAAAAGGCAUUUCGAUUUGGAUGUGUAUUGCAAGGUUUCUUGAUCUCCCUCCCAGUUAUGUGUAAUAUUAUGAUCUGAGGCAGGGAGAUACAUUUUGUGAGAUAUCGGGAAGUAAACUUCCAAACUGCCUUUUCUUUUACUGCAUAGCUUUCCACUUUGUUCUCCUAAUCUAUCUAAGCAGUCAUUUUUUUUUUUUUUUUAAAUCUGUAUAGUGGAAAUUUGAUCACAGCUAAAAGUUGCGCAAAUAGGAAAAUACAGAUAAGAAAGAUCACUCCCUCUUUCAGCUACACUUUCUUUUCUCGAGUCAUCAGUGUUUCUGUAAAAGCCUCUGUUCAUAGUUGAUGUGCAUAGCAAGAAGAGCUAUUGAAGUUAAGAUUACCCUGUUGUGCAGGAAGUCAGGAGAAGGAAAGACAGAUUUUAAUAAGCCAAAAGUAGGACAAAUCUUGGGAAAAAUGUGCAAAAAACUAAGUGAAAUUUAUAUUCUCUAGGGGAAAAAGAUAGAUAUUCCUUUCAUAUGGAAGAAUCUUUUAAAAGUUGUCAGAAUUAGAAUGGAGUCACUUGUGUUUCAAGCCUGACAGAUGGAGCCGAGAAAGGUUAAGAAGAGAGGAUUCUCACUCAUGUAUGCCUGAUAACAAGGCUGCCACAAAAGACUCUGCAAAACCUAUAACCCACAAAGGCUACUGCAACCUUACAAAAAUAUAUAUACUUCUGUGAGUGCAUCGGCCCCGCAACUGCCUGUCCAACCUUGGACUGAUGCCACCCUUGUUAUCGAUUCUUGUAGCCAAGUAUAAUUGUCUCACAACAACUUAUGUAACCCUCCUCAUUUUUCUCUUAAAGAUUCUUGCCUCCCUUUACCUCCUGGAACACACUCACAUAUAUUCCCAUUGCAAUGCCUAUUUCCAAAUAAAUAUAAUUUUCUUUUAUAGUCUUCCUCUCUGUCUGUUACUUAGGCUUGGCAAUCUAAAUAAAUAUCAUAAAGAUUUCAUUGUAAACAUUGUUUGGUACAGUCAUUUAUAUGGUAGUCCGUGUGAGCUGUUCCCCAUGGGGUAUAUAUCUAGACUGCAAAAACAUUUGCGUUUUACAAUACCCCUGCAAAUUAGCAGUCAUUAUGGUCCCCUUUGAUAAAUAAACUAAAUGAAGCCUGAAGAGAAAAAAGUAAUUUUCCUAAAUCAGACAGCCUGUUAAUGAGAGAGACCUAGAACUCACCAGAUAACAUUUGCUUCUGGCAUAAAUUAUUAUUUGUAGAAGGAACCACAUUGAAAUAUUUUGAGUUCAUUUAUCAUUGGUACAUUUUCCGUGUUAUCACAAUAGUUAGGUAAUGCAGUGUGGAAAGAAUAAUAUAAAAUCUACAAGUGCUUCUUGGCUGGCAGCCAUCUACUGGCUCAAUGACUUUUCCUGUUGUUGAAAACUAAUGCUCAUCAGCAUUGAAAAUUUUCACAUAUUGGUGUGUCAUUUUAGACAUUUGCAAAUAGUUCCCCUAUUUGAAGUGUUAAGCCUUUUGUUUUUACUGCUUUGAUUUUAUUAGUUCUUGCAGAGUCAUCCAGGUGUAGUAAUAUUAUACAAAAAUGCAUGACAGUAUAUUUUUAUGCAUGGUAAUAGUUGGUAUUUAGUUGUGCAUAUUAUAUCUUAGAUAUUGAAAAUAAUAUUUUGCAACAAUACAAACUUUUACGAAGCUGAAUAAACACAUUUUCAUAUCAAUAUAAUCAUAUUUACAUACUGAAUAUUUUAUAGUUGAAUUUAAAAAGGAUAAGUCAUUAAGGGAUUAAUAAUGAAAGAAUGUGAAUAUACUAUUAUGUACUUUUAGAAGUGCAUGUCAGUAUUUGGUAUUUUAAUAAGUGUCUACUGGCGUGAUAUUUAGAGUUUCAAACACAUUGGAAUUCACCAAAAUAGAAAAUAAGAUGGACCAGCCAAAAAUUGUUUUAACUUUGAAGAAGAAUUAUAGAAUGUCUACCAGCAAAUGUAAUUUAAUUUAUAAGAAUGAUUUAGAAAGAAAAGAAAUGAAGCAUGAUGCCCAUGAAUCAGGGGUUUUUAAGUAUAUGUUAUUGAUUUAUUGCAUUGAAACUCUUGGGGUUUAAACAAAACAGCUAUUAAAAAGUCUGUUUUCCGUUUCUUGUAGUUGGUUGGAGAAACAUUUGGUAAAUAAAAUGCAAAGAUUUCAGUUUCAUUGGAAACUAUCAUAAUCCUAGGUCAGGGAUUAUGGAGUGACUUUUUGAAGAAUUAUUCUGAAAGUACAUUUCAACUUUUCUCAUCAACUUAGUGUAUUGAAUCAACCUUAUGUAUAGACAUUUUUUGCUUUUCUGACCAGAUGUCACAUUUUGACACCAUAUUUAAAGAUAAAUUAACAGUCCCUUGCUGUUCAAAGCUCAUCAUAUUUUCUUAUCAUUUCUAAGUUACGUGAGAGAUUAAGAAAUGGACAAAAUAUGUAAUUGGCUUUUUAAAAAAAUAGGUGUGUCUGAAUGUUCAUUUUUUUUCUGGGGUUCUUUUCUGAUGUAAUUUCUUUAAUUUGAUCUAGAAUGUUUUAACAUUUCCGUCUUUUAAUGUUUUCAUAAAUACUGCAAGUAUUUCAUCUUCCUCACAAUUGAAAAGGUCAAUAUUUAAGCCACAUCAGUAGUGACUACAUUAAAUUACCUGAAGGCACAGAAUAUUUUAAAACUGUAGGCAACAGAACCCAGGAGCACAGCAGAGUCUUUGGUAUUGGAAUCUAGGUCAGCCCUCUAAAACGCAUGUGCCUUCCCAACCAUUGCUUUUUCUCUCUAGGUCACUUCGAGGUUUAUAUGCUUCCUUCAAAUGCUUGCAAUCUGAAACUGUUACAAAAGGGAUGAGGUUUCUGAAUCUUUCUUCGUUUCUUUCUAUAUAAUUCUACAAAAUCUUAUUUAGAACUAUGAAUGACAGUAAGAAAAUAUUUAAGGCAACACUUUUUUUAAACCUACAGAUGUUGGGAUUGACCUUUUAAUUUGGUGCAUCAUAUUUUUUCCGUGAUUUUGUGAUUAACAGCCCACAGGCUUUAGGGAUCUGGGCGGAAGAAGCCACAGGUGAAGGCCAGCACCAACACUAGUGAGAAUUGUUACCAGUUCAUUAAGAAGACACUUGCAAAAUGUAUAUUCAAGACUUCCAAGAUUGUAGAAAAUAAUUUAUUUCUGUGUACAUUUGCUCCUGUGAUCGCUAAUUGAAGGUAACCGCACAUAGGAUUAAAUAAAGCAUCCCAUUUCUCAAUUUAAUAUUUAUUUACUCAUGUAAGUUAGACAUUUUGAAACCAUGCUUUUUUUUCUGAUGGAAUAAAGCAAGGGUCAUAAGAAGGCAGAUAAACUCUGCAGUGGAUUAUAUUCCCUCCAUUUCUAUCCCUCUGUAAGAACAAAAGAGCUCCUGGGAGAGUGGGGAAUGCAUGUGUUUAUUUUCCAAUUAUUAAGGAGUAAAAUUAUCUUGGACAUCCUAAAAUAUCAUCUAUGCUUCUUCCGUAAGCAUAGAAGUGACACAAUGCAUAGACAAACAUGUCUGAAAUAACAAGUACUGAUAGCAUUGAUAGGUUUUUGGCUCACUUGAGGGUCAAUUAUUGAUGAUAUAUAUGCAAAUUUAAGGAGACUGCAUAUCAUCUGUAAGAGUAAGCGCUGAGAAAUCUUUAAAAAAUAGUGAAGUGACCUAUGAAAUUUACUUACAGUAAAAUGUACUUAAUGUCAUUUUUAAUGUUACAUAAUUAGACUCAUAAAACAUAAACCUAGGAUAAUUACACUUCUGUAAACAUAUUUCAAUUACUGUUUUUAGUUGCUUGACUUGAGAGUGAUUAUCUUAUGUCAGGUGUCUAGGUCACCCUCCAAGUCAGUGACAUAUAUUCAGUGACCUAAAUUGUGCUAUAUUUAUGGUAUUUAAAUUAUGAUGCAUGUUAUUGUCUUCAAUUACUUAAGUCCCAGUAAAUGUAAUUUGAAGCAAAAUAAUUAUGAUUAAAUAUAUAAGGCACAGUUUAUCUGCUUACAUUAACAAAGAAGUAUUUUGUUUUCUAUUUCUUGUUCAAAGCAAAAAUUCCUGUGGUUUGAACAGAAAUAUAUAUACUUUUAUAGACAAAUGAACAAAUUUGAGUUACUCUGGUAUUGUUCAUUACACCACAAUCUUUCAGUGCAUAUUGAAUUCUAAAGAUUAUAAUAUCCACAUAUUAUCUUUCAAAAUGGCUGAUAUGUCCAGACAUUCCGAGUGCCCUCAUACUGAGAAGAGUGUGACAGUGUGCCGAUAUUCUCCUGUGGGGAAAAAGAACACAUUCAGUGCAAGUACCUGCUGAGCGCCACCCACUGCAUGCUGGGUCUUGGUGAGUUCAAGGGCUGAGCAAUUCUAAUAGUACCGGGAAAAAAGGACUCAACGAUUAUUCAAGAGGGACAAGUCAAAAGCCUACAGGAAAAUAACCCUGGUUUAGAUUGGAAAGGAAAAGUCAAGUUAGAGACGUAACCAGGGGCUUUCAUGUUGAAUGUAAAAGUGGCAGGCAGCUGUUCUUGUUCUUCAUUUCCAAGGGCAUAGAACAGGAAAUGAGGUGUAAGUUGCAGUCCCGUGGAUCCAGGUUAAGUAUGAAUUGGCUGUAGGUUACAUAUAAAUUGGCUGUGGGAAUCAUUUACAUAAAUAAGACAUUUAACUCUUUGACUGAACAUAUUUUAAAACAGUGAAAUUCUCUCUCCUGUUUGGAAUGGUUUACGUUUUACCUUGCUGUGAAGUAAGAAUGAAUAGGUCUACAGACAUAUUGUCCUGAGGGUGCUUGAUCUCAUCUGAAAUAAGAGUGAAUAAGAUGAGUUAGUGAAAUUCAUAGUCACACUCAUUUUAUUCUUCAGACAAUUUCAAGCAACUUUCAAAGACUAAAAUAAAAAAAAAAAACUUUUAGUGAUUCAUUGUCAAUUUACAGACUAAAGAAAGUAGUUAAGUUGAAGUGGGUUUAUUUGUGUCUGGAUACCAGAAUUUAUAAUAGGCUAUGUGGGUGGAAGAGACUUUAUAACCCAAAAUCAGAGUAGAAAUUGAUUCAGAAUAACUAGUUCUGACUCAAACUUAUGACAUGUUAAUGACAGAAAGUUUGAAGUUGAGGUUUAAAAAGAAAUAUUAAUAUUAAAAUUUUGACAUAAACCUAUUCCUUAAUUGAAGUAGCAUUGCUUCUUAAUAGAAGCAGGAGAUACUUGAUGUGUACCUGGCAUCAACUGGUGUCUUUGCGAAAAUUAUAAAAAUAGAUUAAGUAAAAUGUUCACAAUAGCAUUUUGCAUGGUAUUGGGUGUGUGGAAUCAUUAUAUUUGAUAAAUACAUUAAGAUGGCAUUGACUAACCCUAAAUGCAUAGCCUAGCUAUAUGUUAGGACAAUUCUUGCAUCAUAACCAGUUCUAGUGUUGACAAUGUGAAUUUUUCACUGUUGUUGUAGAGAGUGCUUAUCAACACAUAAGAUAUUCACGGAUAACUAUUUCUUCUAAUGGCAUUGCGGCAUAAUAUGGAGCGUAUGAAAAAAUCAACAGCCCUGCUAUCCUGUUGAAAUAAACUGGAUCACUUUGAGUUAAAAGGGCACAGAACAAGCUUUCUGAUUAUUUUCUGUAUUCCUUCAACUGUCUCUUAUUAAUGUCAAACUAUAUAAGUUAUUACCAAAAACAUGAUACUUUGGAUCUUACCAAAUAAAAGAAAGGUUUUAUUUGUGGUUGUAUUUACAAAUCUCACUGAUGUCCAUAAAUAUUAUUUACAAAUUAAGGACAUUGGAGCUACAGAAUCAAAAAGAGGCCAGGCUCAGUGGUUCACGCCUGUAAUCCUAGUGCUUUGGGAGGCCAAGGCGGGGGAUUCCUUGAGGCCAGUAUACAUGGCUGUAGUGAGCUAUGAUUUUGUCACUGCACUCCUGCCUGGGUGACAGAGUGAGACCCUGUGUCUAAACAAACAAACAAACAAAA